RNAcentral lists this ribosomal RNA (251 nucleotides) under uncultured prokaryote. RNAcentral's name for it is "partial 16S rRNA". It matches the Rfam family "Bacterial small subunit ribosomal RNA", at positions 525 to 775 of the family's 1533-position model. The record is from RNAcentral.
ACGGAGGGUGCAAGCGUUAUUCGGAAUUACUGGGCGUAAAGCGCGUGUAGGCGGUUCUGUAAGUCUGAUGUGAAAGUCCCGGGCUUAACCCGGGAAGUGCACUGGAAACUGCGGGGCUUGAGUACUGGAGAGGGAGAUGGAAUUCCCGGUGUAGAGGUGAAAUUCGUAGAGAUCGGGAGGAAUAGCAGUGGCGAAGGCGCCCAUCUGGACGGUAACUGACGCUGAGACGCGAAAGUGUGGGGAGCAAACAG